GAGGGCAAUCAGGGACAGGGUGGCCACAGCUGCAGGUCAUUAAUGCCCCUGGCCAAGCAGGGCAGCCCUCAGCGCUCUCUGAGCGCAGCAUGGUUGGUGGGACAAGUGUUUAAAGGAUGUCACCUCGUGUCUCCCAUCCUCUCCAUCUCUGUCCUCAUUUCUUAGCUGCUCCUGGAGCUGUCAGAGGAGCCUGUGGCCUGCAGCCAGCUCUGCCCUCACAGAUGGGGAGCUGUGAUGUGUCAGGAGCUCACAGGAGUCCCGAGGUUCAUCGCCGCCCGCCUCUUGUGCAACCACCAGCUUUCAACAGCACAAAAUUUCAGUGGAAGGUCACCAAGAAGCCCUCAGUGCUCACCUCUAAUUGAACAAGACCUGUCCUGACCUCACUUAAGGGAAAGGGAACAUCCUGCAUUGGUGUGGGAGCUUUAUCUUCAUCCUCCUGCCCGUGGGUUUCUCUCCAUGCCUCUAUGCAGCCCACGGACCCAGCAUCUAAUUAUAUAUUAAAAAAAUAUCCUCUCUUCUUCUAAUGGAGAAAAUACACAAUAUACAUGUGCUGUAAGCAGAGUUUAAAGGAAUUUGGCACUCUGGAAUUGUAGAAGGUAUUGAAAGAGGCAUUGCCAAACUAAAACUCCAUGGUCUUUUAGCAACCCUGGAAAGGGAUGAGGGGGAAAAGCCCUGCUGAGGAAAAGGUGGCUUUUUCCCACCAAACUAUCCCUUAAGACAAAGCCCCCUUGGUCAGAGGGAGCAGGUCACCACGCUGGCUGCUCCACUCCCUGGAUUUGGCAGGGGCUGCUUUCCAAGAGCCCCGUGGUUCUCCAGGGCAGGCUGAGUGUCCACAGGGCACAGCCAAAACAGCCCAGGCACUGCCUACAGGUUAAUCACAUUUACUGCAGCUCUGUUGUUCCAAGAGUCUCAGACAAAGGCUAAAUUCAAGAAAACUUAAAAAGAAACAGAUCUUUGGAGCUGACUUAUUGUUAAUGCAAUUAGGGUGAGGGAGAGAAUCUAAUUACCAAGGACUCUCACUUCUUCCCCGUGCCCCAAGCUGGUUUAAAGAGGAAGCUCUCAGUGUAGUGACUUAAACUUUCUGCUUUACUUUACUUCUUAGCACGGCAGUUGUUGAAACAGCUUCAGUGUUUUCUCAGCUGCAUUUUUUGU
This is a long non-coding RNA of Passer domesticus (house sparrow), 1152 nucleotides long. RefSeq lists it as uncharacterized. The record is from RefSeq and is a predicted model, not a curated record. NCBI's taxonomy places the organism in Eukaryota, Metazoa, Chordata, Aves, Passeriformes, Passeridae. The transcript has 2 exons.